Molecule: long non-coding RNA, 422 nt
Filed under: Salmo salar (Atlantic salmon)
Lineage: Eukaryota; Metazoa; Chordata; Actinopteri; Salmoniformes; Salmonidae
Description: lncRNA (ENSSSAG00000085161.1)
Source: RNAcentral
AGCAGCUCAACGCCGGUUUGACUGAAGGAUAUGACAAAAGGGCAAGGCAGGGGAGUCUUUCUCUCUACUCUCUCUCUUUCUCUCUCUUUCUCUUAUUUCUACAUUUCCCCCUUGCACUAACCUGAAAUUACAGGUUAGGGACAAUGUACAAAAUGGAACUAUUGAAAAUGUACUCCAAUACAUCGUCCCAAACGGGAGGAACACUCCUCCACAGCCAGAUGGCCGUCUCUCCCGACCAUCCAAACCCAGAUUAAAAAUGGAAGACAUUCUCCCCUGUGACUCUGCUCCCCAAGAUUACGGGGAUGAAAAACAACAUCUCCCACCUGGAAAGUGAGAACAACACCACUUUUCCCCUGUGGCCUUAAUAUUAUACAUGCUACUACCUCUCCAUAUAAUGAAGACUGUAUUAGUUGUCAAGCUGC